GAUGAACGCUGGCGGCGUGCCUAAUACAUGCAAGUCGAGCGAACAGACGAGGAGCUUGCUCCUCUGACGUUAGCGGCGGACGGGUGAGUAACACGUGGAUAACCUACCUAUAAGACUGGGAUAACUUCGGGAAACCGGAGCUAAUACCGGAUAAUAUAUUGAACCGCAUGGUUCAAUAGUGAAAGACGGUUUUGCUGUCACUUAUAGAUGGAUCCGCGCCGCAUUAGCUAGUUGGUAAGGUAACGGCUUACCAAGGCAACGAUGCGUAGCCGACCUGAGAGGGUGAUCGGCCACACUGGAACUGAGACACGGUCCAGACUCCUACGGGAGGCAGCAGUAGGGAAUAUUCCGCAAUGGGCGAAAGCCUGACGGAGCAACGCCGCGUGAGUGAUGAAGGUCUUCGGAUCGUAAAACUCUGUUAUUAGGGAAGAACAAAUGUGUAAGUAACUAUGCACGUCUUGACGGUACCUAAACAGAAAGCCCCGGCUAACUACGUG
Molecule: ribosomal RNA, 497 nt
Filed under: uncultured bacterium
Lineage: Bacteria
Description: partial 16S ribosomal RNA
Rfam family: Bacterial small subunit ribosomal RNA
Source: RNAcentral